UACGGGGGGGGCAAGCGUUGUUCGGAAUUACUGGGCGUAAAGGGCUCGUAGGCGGCCAACUAAGUCAGACGUGAAAUCCCUCGGCUUAACCGGGGAACUGCGUCUGAUACUGGAUGGCUUGAAUCCGGGAGAGGGAUGCGGAAUUCCAGGUGUAGCGGUGAAAUGCGUAGAUAUCGCUUGGAACGCCGACGGUGAAAACAGUCUGCUGGGGGUGUGCUGACGCUGAGACACGAAAGCCAGGGGAGCGAACGGG
RNAcentral lists this ribosomal RNA (253 nucleotides) under uncultured bacterium. RNAcentral describes it as "partial 16S ribosomal RNA". It matches the Rfam family "Bacterial small subunit ribosomal RNA", at positions 524 to 776 of the family's 1533-position model. The record is from RNAcentral.